UAGGUAACCUGCCCAUGUGUCCGGGAUAACUGCUGGAAACGGUAGCUAAAACCGGAUAGGUAUACAGAGCGCAUGCUCAGUAUAUUAAAGCGCCCAUCAAGGCGUGAACAUGGAUGGACCUGCGGCGCAUUAGCUAGUUGGUGAGGUAACGGCCCACCAAGGCGAUGAUGCGUAGCCGGCCUGAGAGGGUAAACGGCCACAUUGGGACUGAGACACGGCCCAA
This 223-nucleotide ribosomal RNA is filed under the name uncultured bacterium. RNAcentral describes it as "partial 16S ribosomal RNA". It matches the Rfam family "Bacterial small subunit ribosomal RNA", at positions 118 to 334 of the family's 1533-position model. The record is from RNAcentral.